Non-coding RNA from Schistosoma haematobium, 78 nucleotides. Lineage: Eukaryota; Metazoa; Platyhelminthes; Trematoda; Strigeidida; Schistosomatidae. The record is from Rfam.
AGCUUUUUGAAUCCGUGCAGAGAUCUUGUCAGGCACCAACCAAUCAGGGCUGACCAGAUUUCCAAGAUAAGUGAACUU